Molecule: non-coding RNA, 30 nt
Filed under: Rattus norvegicus (Norway rat)
Lineage: Eukaryota; Metazoa; Chordata; Mammalia; Rodentia; Muridae
Source: RNAcentral
UGCAUACUUGCUCUUAGGGCUUGGAAUUGA